AUGGAAAUAAUUGAAUUGAAUUGUGUAUGAUCCCUGAUGUUCUGCUUUUCCAGAAUGGGUGGUGCACUGAAGGGAGCACAGGUAAUUGAUAAUCUGCCAACUAUUGGGAUUGAUGAGACUGUGCAUGAUCUGCCUGCCCCUGAAGUCCCUCUUGAUGAGCCCUUGAGUCUCGAGCUGCCAAUUUUGCCAGGCCCUCAGAAGGUCCUCAAUGCACUGGUGUCUUGAGGACUGGUUUAGUGUGUGACAGUGUUGCCCCCUUUUCAACAAACAUCGCCAUCAGGGGCACUGCAAUGAGUGUUGAAUGGAUCUGCCCCAAUGGACAUUGCCUAUGACGGUGGAACUCACAGCCUGUGUUGAAGUUUGGCAUGCAGGCUGGGGACUUUCUUCUUUCCACAAACAUUUUACUCUCUGGAAACAACUACACUAAAGUUGCUCUCCUAUUUAAAUUCAUGAAAAUGCGAAUGGUAAACCCUA
Rhinichthys klamathensis goyatoka is the source of this 474-nucleotide long non-coding RNA. RefSeq lists it as uncharacterized. The transcript is spliced from 3 exons. NCBI's taxonomy places the organism in Eukaryota, Metazoa, Chordata, Actinopteri, Cypriniformes, Leuciscidae. The record is from RefSeq and is a predicted model, not a curated record.